RNAcentral lists this ribosomal RNA (253 nucleotides) under uncultured bacterium. RNAcentral describes it as "partial 16S ribosomal RNA". It matches the Rfam family "Bacterial small subunit ribosomal RNA", at positions 524 to 776 of the family's 1533-position model. The record is from RNAcentral.
UACGGAGGGGGCUAGCGUUGUUCGGAAUUACUGGGCGUAAAGCGCGCGUAGGCGGACCUGCAAGUCGGGGGUGAAGGCCCGAGGCUCAACCUCGGAACUGCCUUCGAUACUGCGGGUCUCGAGUCCGGGAGAGGUGAGUGGAAUUCCUAGUGUAGAGGUGAAAUUCGUAGAUAUUAGGAAGAACACCAGUGGCGAAGGCGGCUCACUGGCCCGGUACUGACGCUGAGGCGCGAAAGCGUGGGGAGCAAACAGG